GGAGCCCAGGGGGGACCGUGGCCGCACUCAGAGCGCGCCUCGUCCUCGUCCACGGCUGCCCUGCGGCCGGCUCUUCCAGCUCCAGCUGGACCAAGCCAAGUCGACCAAGGGCCAAAGAGCACCAGUGACUCACAUGAGGGACCCCCCCAAAAUCUUGAUUUCAAGAGAAAAGGGGCCCGGGAGCCGUGAGUCCCCAUGACAAGGGGUAUUGGCCAGGCUCCGGGGCCAUGGCUGGGGCCCAACUCUGGACUCAGAGGAGGAUUUACCCAAGAACCUGGGGAUUUAUCAGCACAUCGAGAAGACGCAAGCGCUCUGGAAGAACAUGCUUGGAAAUAGGACUGACCCUGCUAUUUGGGACACUGGGACCGUGUAUCCGAAAGCUGGCUUCCAGCUGAGCUAACACAAAAAGCCAGAGCGCUCCAGCCUGCCCUGCCAACCCCAUCCUGCACAUGUGCGCCUUGUUGGGU
Molecule: long non-coding RNA, 467 nt
Organism: Neomonachus schauinslandi (Hawaiian monk seal)
Lineage: Eukaryota; Metazoa; Chordata; Mammalia; Carnivora; Phocidae
Exons: 3
Source: RefSeq, a predicted model, not a curated record